Molecule: ribosomal RNA, 497 nt
Filed under: uncultured bacterium
Lineage: Bacteria
Description: partial 16S ribosomal RNA
Rfam family: Bacterial small subunit ribosomal RNA
Source: RNAcentral
GAUGAACGCUGGCGGCGUGCCUAAUACAUGCAAGUCGAGCGAACAGACGAGGAGCUUGCUCCUCUGACGUUAGCGGCGGACGGGUGAGUAACACGUGGAUAACCUACCUAUAAGACUGGGAUAACUUCGGGAAACCGGAGCUAAUACCGGAUAAUAUAUUGAACCGCAUGGUUCAAUAGUGAAAGACGGUUUUGCUGUCACUUAUAGAUGGAUCCGCGCCGCAUUAGCUAGUUGGUAAGGUAACGGCUUAUCAAGGCAACGAUGCGUAGCCGACCUGAGAGGGUGAUCGGCCACACUGGAACGGAGCCACGGUCCAGACUCCUACGGGAGGCAGCAGUAGGGAAUCUUCCGCAAUGGGCGAAAACCUGACGGAGCAACGCCGCGUGAGUGAUGAAGGUCUUCGGAUCGUAAAACUCUGUUAUUAGGGAAGAACAAAUGUGUAAGUAACUAUGCACGUCUUGACGGUACCUAAUCAGAAAGCCACGGCUAACUACGUG